RNAcentral lists this ribosomal RNA (253 nucleotides) under uncultured bacterium. RNAcentral describes it as "partial 16S ribosomal RNA". It matches the Rfam family "Bacterial small subunit ribosomal RNA", at positions 524 to 776 of the family's 1533-position model. The record is from RNAcentral.
UACGUAGGUGGCAAGCGUUGUCCGGAAUUACUGGGUGUAAAGGGAGCGUAGGCGGGAAAGCAAGUUAGAUGUGAAACCUAUGGGCUUAACCCAUAGCCUGCAUCUAAAACUGUUUUUCUUGAGUGAAGUAGAGGUAAGCGGAAUUCCUAGUGUAGCGGUGAAAUGCGUAGAUAUUAGGAGGAACACCAGUGGCGAAGGCGGCUUACUGGGCUUUAACUGACACUGAGGCUCGAAAGCGUGGGUAGCAAACAGG